Lonchura striata (white-rumped munia) is the source of this 1556-nucleotide long non-coding RNA. The record is from Ensembl. NCBI's taxonomy places the organism in Eukaryota, Metazoa, Chordata, Aves, Passeriformes, Estrildidae.
CCCUGCCCAGGCCAGGCAGCCCAGCGCGGUCCCGGCCGCGCCCGCGAAGCGCCGCAGCCGCUCCUGGGGGCGGGGCAUGCAAAUCAGGCCGCGCGGCGCGCCAAUCAGGGGGCGGCAUGCAGAUCAGGGCGCGCGGCGCGCCAAUCAGAGGGCGGCAUGCAAAUCAGGGCGCAGGGCGCGCGAAUCAUGGGGCGGCAUGCAGAUCAGGGGGCGGGGCGCGCGAAACAGGGAGGGGCAUGCAAAUCAGGCCGCGCGGCGCGCCAAUCAGGGAGCAGCAUGCAAAUCAGGGCGCAGGGCGCGCGAAACAGGGAGUGGCAUGCAAAUCAGGGCGCAGGGCGCGCGAAACAGGGAGUGGCAUGCAAAUCAGGGCGCGCGGCGCGCCAAUCAGGGAGCGGCAUGCAAAUCAGGGCGCAGGGCGCGCCAAUCAGGGAGCGGCAUGCAAAUCAGGGAGCGGGGCGCGCGAAACAGGGAGCGGUAUGCAAAUCAGGGCGCGCGAAUCAGGGAGCGGCAUGCAAAAUCUUGGGGCCAAUCCCCAAAUUGGGUGAUUUUUGGAUAAUUUGGGGGGUUUUUUUUGGGGUGAUUUUGGGGUGAUUUUGGGUGUGAUUUCGGGGUGCUUUUGGGUAUUUUUUGGAAUGAUUUUGGGGUGAUUUGGGGGGUUCUUUUUGGGGUGAUUUUUGGGCUGAUUUGGGGUUUUUUUGGGGGUAUUUUUGGGUGUGAUUUUGGGGUUUUUUGGGGUGAUUUUGGGGGUUUUUUUGGGAUGAUUUGAAGGGUUUUUUGGGUCGAUUUUGGGUUUUUUUGGGGUGAUUUGUGGGUUUUUGGGGUCCCUCACCUCCAGCGUGUCACGGUCGGGGCCGGGGGGGAGGGGCCAGCAGGGGGCGCCCAUCCCCCCCCCGGGGCUCAGCAGCCAAUCCAGGAGCGGGAAACAGCCCUGGGGGCGGGGCCGGAAAAGGGGCGGGGUCAGGAAAGGGGCGGGGCCAAUCAGGGGGGAGAUGACAGAAAUGGGGGAGGGGCUAAAACUGGGGGCGGGGUCACCCCAGGACCCCCAAAAAUGCCUCAGAGCCCUCCCAGUAACUCCCAGUAACUCCCAGUAAGUCCCAGUUGCCCCUCCCAGUGCUCCCAGUGCUCCCAGUUACCCUUUCCAUUGCUCCCAGUCCAAACCGGUUUAUCCCGGUCCCUCCCAGUUCCUCCCAGUAACUCCCAGUGCCCCCCAGUCUGUCCCAGCCCCAUUUCCAGUGCUCCCAGUAGCUCCCAGUCCCACCCAGUUCCCCAUCCCAGUCCAUCCCAGUUUAUUCCAGUUUAUCCCAGUCCCUCCCAGUUUGUCCCAGUCCGUCCCAGUCUCACCCUCAGCUCCCGUUUCAGCCUCUCCUCGUUCCGCACCGGCAGCAGCUGCUCCCGGCCCAGCAGCAGCACCUGGAAACUGGGAUGGACUGGGACAAACUGGGACAAACUGGGAGGGACUGGGAGGGACUGGGAUGGACUGGGACAAACUGGGACAAACUGGGAGGGACUGGGAGGGACUGGGAUGGACUGGGACAAACUGGGAUGAACUGGGAGAA